AUUAAUUGUUACAUGUCUUAAUUCUUUUUAAUAAAAUGUUGAGUAAAAUAAAAUUAACAAAACUAUUUACAAAACUAAAACUAUUUACAAAAACUAAACUAUUUACAGUAGCAAACUAAACGCAUCAAAAUUUCUGGCCAGCUACAUUUUAUCACCACGCACGUAUUUAAACGAGCGACAUAUUAGGCACCCGGACCGCACCAGCGACUCCUCGCUUCCACGUCGCCGCUGUCACGGCUGCUGCCAGUGCGAAUCUGGAUAUCGAGGCGAACGCACGCCGGUUUUUUGAACACUAACUUUAAGUUAUUAUAACCGCCAUAGCGAUUAAACUUUUUAAGGGCGUCAUUACCGUUCCCUCGACUAUAUAUCUCGACAUAUAAUAAUACUCAGCAUAUUCAGUGUGUGUGAUUUAAACCCCGAUUGGGGUUUCACGUACACCUUAAAUCUCCUGCUUCCCCGCGGUGGACUGUAGCGGGUUGACCUUCGAACCCUACACCAGCACCUGAACCUGAUCUCGGCGCGCGGCCACUUGUUCCUGCAGCGACCAGUGACGUCAGGGAAGUGCUAGGCUAGUGAGGAGGUUAAUCACUGUAAACUUGUAUGUAUGGGCUCUAACCCAUUGUUAUUUCUGCCGACCGAGCUAUACUGUAUUUUGUGUGCGGUAAAUAAAUUGUCCAUCUUGCUACCUA
This 689-nucleotide long non-coding RNA is filed under the name Helicoverpa zea (corn earworm). RNAcentral's name for it is "uncharacterized LOC124633368". Lineage: Eukaryota; Metazoa; Arthropoda; Insecta; Lepidoptera; Noctuidae. The record is from RNAcentral.